This 333-nucleotide ribosomal RNA is filed under the name Triticum aestivum (bread wheat). Its description in RNAcentral is "partial small subunit ribosomal RNA". Lineage: Eukaryota; Viridiplantae; Streptophyta; Magnoliopsida; Poales; Poaceae. The record is from RNAcentral.
AUGGCUUCUACCAAAGAAGCAUGUCAACACACACCCAUGGAUGGAUGGGGAUGGGGCGACGACGGCGGCUGUGGCGGCCUUCUCUCGGUGCUUGCUGAUGUGGUGGAUAUCGAUGUCGGUGACGGGUUGCAGCACGUAGAUGUCAAAGUUUCUGCAGGCUGCGGGUGUAACGGAGGAGCACCAUGGCGGGUGUGCAGGCCAUGGCUCGCUAUGGAAGGCCCUUCCCUUCCCUCUCUCUGUUCGGGCCAUGCUCAGGCACGACGACCUAUGGAAGGAAGGGGACGCCAACGACCUAUGGAAGGGAGGGAAGGGGAGGCCGGUGAAUUGGGGUAG